This 254-nucleotide ribosomal RNA is filed under the name uncultured bacterium. RNAcentral describes it as "partial 16S ribosomal RNA". It matches the Rfam family "Bacterial small subunit ribosomal RNA", at positions 524 to 776 of the family's 1533-position model. The record is from RNAcentral.
UACGUAGGGAGCAAGCGUUAAUCGGAAUUACUGGGCGUAAAGCGUGCGCAGGCGGUUUUGUAAGUCUGUCGUGAAAUCCCCGGGCUCAACCUGGGAAUUGCGAUGGAGACUGCAAGGCUAGAAUCUGGCAGAGGGGGGUAGAAUUCCACGUGUGAGCAGUGAAAUGCGUAGAGAUGUGGAGGAACACCGAUGGCGAAGGCAGCCCCCUGGGUCAAGAUUGACGCUCAUGCACGAAAGCGUGGGGAGCAAACAGG